Molecule: ribosomal RNA, 859 nt
Filed under: Triticum aestivum (bread wheat)
Lineage: Eukaryota; Viridiplantae; Streptophyta; Magnoliopsida; Poales; Poaceae
Description: partial small subunit ribosomal RNA
Source: RNAcentral
AAUUGCUCCUACCUUCCUGGAAUUUUUAUGUGUCGCUAAACCAUCUUAUCCAUCUCUCCUCCCGUCUCAUUGGCAUCCUGCGGCGGCGGCUCUCGCACGGGUGGGGGACGAUGUUGGCCUCCAAGAGAAGCUCUCUCAGCAGCGGCCGCUCGCAUGAGGGCAUGGCAUCGGACCAGCUUCCAUGAGGAGAAGCUCACUCGACGCGAUCUCCAUGAAGCAGGCAGCGGCGUCGGCGCACUGUUCUAGUUUGGCGAGAAAAAUGACUCCGACCAUCUGAUGAUGCAAGCGUGGCGGCAUAUGGAAGAUAGCCGGCGGCCGGCGGUGGUGCAACCACAUGAUUCGUGAGUUCAUCCAGGUUUCGAAAUUGAGUUUCUUUCCUUCUUUGCAGAUCUAGAUGGCAGUGGAUAAGAAUUAUGUGCUCUGCUCUACUAUGAAGCAAAUUAUUGGGAAAAGAAGAUGAAGUCAAAUUUACACGUCUCAGGGAUUUCAAAGCUACACCUCAACAACUCUCAUCUCAAGUUUUAUUUUAUUUUAGUGAAGCCACCCCAAGAAAGCAAUCACGGGCAACGGAAAGUAUUUGGGUCUGUAUUUUAUUAACCCAAACGUGUAUAGAUUCCCUUGCUUGUAUGUAAAGAGGUGUGAUGACCACCCGCAGAAAAAAAGAGGUGUGAUGACAAUCGAAUACUACUGACCUGAUGGUUUUUAUAUACUACUUGUUUCAAGCAAUCUAUAAAAUAUACUCCUUCAUUGUGAGCAUACUCGUUCUCAACGAAGAAACAAGUUGUACUUCUGUGUGCCUUCAUGCAAAAAUGAGGUAUACACUUCCUACAAGAUAAUGUAAUCUAUGCAUGAUAAAAAA